GUAGUCAUACGCUCGUCUCAAAGAUUAAGCCAUGCAUGUGUAAGUAUAAAUAAUUUUACUUUGAAACUGCGAAUGGCUCAUUAUAUCAGUUAUAGUUUAUUAGAAAUAUUUUACUACUUGGAUAACCGUAGUAAUUCUAGGGCUAAUACAUGAGUAAAACCUCAACUUCGGAAGAGGUGUGUUUAUUAGUAUGAAAACCAUAUAUCUUCGGAUAUAAUAGUGAGUAAUAAUAACCUUUCAUAUCGUAUGUCGUAAGAUAACGAUAGUUCUUUCAAGUUUCUGCCCUAUCAGCUUUCGAUGGUAGUAUAUGGGACUACCAUGGCAGUAACGGGUAACGAAGAAUUUGGGUUCGAUUUCGGAGAGGGAGCCUGAGAGAUGGCUACCACAUCCAAGGAAGGCAGCAGGCGCGUAAAUUACCCAAUCCUGACAUAGGGAGGUAGUGACAAUAAAUCACAAUGCGGAACUUUUAGUUUUGCAAUUGGAUUGAGAACAAUGUACAAAUGUUAUCGAUAAACAAUUGGAGGGCAAGUCUGGUGCCAGCAGCCGCGGUAAUUCCAGCUCCAAUAGCGUAUAUUAACGUUGUU
This 584-nucleotide ribosomal RNA is filed under the name Blastocystis sp. Its description in RNAcentral is "SSU rRNA". It matches the Rfam family "Eukaryotic small subunit ribosomal RNA", at positions 20 to 614 of the family's 1831-position model. The record is from RNAcentral. Lineage: Eukaryota; Bigyra; Opalinata; Blastocystidae.